RNAcentral lists this ribosomal RNA (446 nucleotides) under uncultured bacterium. Its description in RNAcentral is "bacterial SSU rRNA". It matches the Rfam family "Bacterial small subunit ribosomal RNA", at positions 354 to 796 of the family's 1533-position model. The record is from RNAcentral.
GUAAGGAAUAUUGGGCAAUGGACGCAAGUCUGACCCAGCCAUGCCGCGUGAAGGAUGAAUGUCCUAUGGAUUGUAAACUUCUUUUAUGCAGGAAAAAUAUCCCGGUCGUGAACCGGGACUGAUGGUACUGUAUGAAUAAGCAUCGGCUAACUCCGUGCCAGCAGCCGCGGUAAUACGGAGGAUGCAAGCGUUAUCCGGAUUCAUUGGGUUUAAAGGGUGCGCAGGCGGAAUGAUAAGUCAGUGGUGAAAUCUCCCAGCUUAACUGGGAAACUGCCAUUGAUACUGUCGUUCUUGAGUACAGUUGAAGUGGGCGGAAUGUGUCAUGUAGCGGUGAAAUGCUUAGAUAUGACACAGAACACCGAUAGCGAAGGCAGCUCACUAAGCUGUAACUGACGCUCAUGCACGAAAGCGUGGGGAUCAAACAGGAUUAGAUACCCCAGUAGUCC